AGUCUCGAGAUUGCCUGACCAUGACACACUCCAUCAGAACUCAUCCCCACUGUUAAGCAAAGCAUGACUAUACCGCCUUGGAUUCUCCACGGUCCCAGACCUGAACUGUUUAGAUGACUGCACACGCAGAGGGCACCGUGUCUGAGGCAGAGAGCAGCUGGAAUCACAAAAGCUCUCGACAGAGAGUCAAGGAAAGGCGUGCUCUGCUUACACGACUCUCUACUUUUCUCUGGGUCUGAACCAUUUCCUAGCUAAUCUGCUUUUCUUAACCGAGCAGCUUUGCCAAAAAAAAAAAAAAAAAGAAAAAACACAAAGUUACCAACAAACACUAAACAAACCAAUAUAAACAAUACAUAUUAAAUAAGCCUAACCCUCCUAUGCUACUGAAAAGGCUUUUAUUUCCCUGGGAUAAUUUGGACAGCAUUAGAUUGUUUUACCAAGAGCAGCCAAGUCGAGGCAGAUUAUUUCUAAUUCCACAGUGCUGCAGAUGCGGUCAGUAGCAACUGCAAGCCGGAAAGGAAACAAAACAAAACAAAGUUGGGUGUAAUCCAUUCAAGUUCACACGUUUCACCAGGGACAGCCUCCAAGCCUUGAAUAGUUAGGUAAUUGGUUGCUGCCUGUCUGUCCUUUCCAACCAGGCUGUGAGGGCCAGUACGUCAAACAGCCUGUCAGUCUUGCUCACCAAGUGUCCAGACCACUGAACACGCACCGACCAGAGGAAAGGAAGGACUUGUCCCAAAGUCAACUCUCCAGACUUUCUGUGCAAGGAGGGAACGAACGGAGCACCCUCCAGCCUCACGCUUUCUCUUCCAUGCUUUCAAGUGUGGGGCACAUACCUCUGCUCACAACGCUCCCCGGACAGCCCCCACUGCACCCCUAACAGGUAGACUUCUGCACAGUCAAGGGCUUUGGAAAGCACUGGCUCUGCACACAAAUCUUACCAGCCUAUUUUCAAGUACCACGUCUGACUGGGCAAGGGAAACAAAAUACAAAAUGAACAAACGGGACUACAUCAAAAUUAGUCCCAUAUGGCCUAGGUGUGUAGGAGGCUCUGCCAUCCAGGUUUAGGAACUCCGUGGUGUUUGCACAGUCUCGAGAUUGCCUGACCAUGACACACUCCUCAGAACUCAUCCCCACUGUUAAGCAAAGCAUGACUAUACCGCCUUGGAUUCUCCACGGUCCCAGACCUGAACUGUUUAGAUGACUGCACACGCAGAGGGCACCGUGUCUGAGGCAGAGAGCAGCUGGAAUCACAAAAGCUCUCGACAGAGAGUCAAGGAAAGGCGUGCUCUGCUUACACGACUCUCUACUUUUCUCUGGGUCUGAACCAUUUCCUAGCUAAUCUGCUUUUUUUAACCGAGCAGCUUUGCCAAAAAAAAAAAAAAAAAGAAAAAACACAAAGUUACCAACAAACACUAAACAAACCAAUAUAAACAAUACAUAUUAAAUAAGCCUAACCCUACUAUGCUACUGAAAAGGCUUUUAUUUCCCUGGGAUAAUUUGGACAGCAUUAGAUUGUUUUACCAAGAGCAGCCAAGUCGAGGCAGAUUAUUUCUAAUUCCACAGUGCUGCAGAUGCGGUCAGUAGCAACUGCAAGCCGGAAAGGAAACAAAACAAAACAAAGUUGGGUGUAAUCCAUUCAAGUUCACACGUUUCACCAGGGACAGCCUCCAAGCCUUGAAUAGUCAGGUAUGCAUUUAGCCAUUCUUUAAUCAACCACUACUAACGCCUGCUAAAGGCCAGACACUGCUCUAAGUACUUUACGGAUAUGAAAUAUCCUCUCACCUUUACACUCAC
Equus caballus (horse) is the source of this 1797-nucleotide long non-coding RNA. Lineage: Eukaryota; Metazoa; Chordata; Mammalia; Perissodactyla; Equidae. The record is from Ensembl.